CCUACGGGUGGCAGCAGUGGGGAAUAUUGGACAAUGGGGGCAACCCUGAUCCAGCCAUGCCGCGUGUGUGAAGAAGGCCCUCGGGUUGUAAAGCACUUUCAGUGAGGAAGAACGCCUGGUGGUUAAUACCCAUCAGGAAAGACAUCACUCACAGAAGAAGCACCGGCUAACUCCGUGCCAGCAGCCGCGGUAAUACGGAGGGUGCGAGCGUUAAUCGGAAUUACUGGGCGUAAAGCGCGCGUAGGUGGCUUGAUAAGCCGGUUGUGAAAGCCCCGGGCUCAACCUGGGAACGGCAUCCGGAACUGUCAAGCUAGAGUGCAGGAGAGGAAGUUAGAAUUCCCGGUGUAGCGGUGAAAUGCGUAGAGAUCGGGAGGAAUACCAGUGGCGAAGGCGGCCUUCUGGACUGACACUGACACUGAGGUGCGAAAGCGUGGGUAGCAAACAGGAUUAGAUACCCGAGUAGUC
This 465-nucleotide ribosomal RNA is filed under the name Vreelandella stevensii. Its description in RNAcentral is "partial 16S ribosomal RNA". It matches the Rfam family "Bacterial small subunit ribosomal RNA", at positions 338 to 795 of the family's 1533-position model. The record is from RNAcentral. Lineage: Bacteria; Pseudomonadati; Pseudomonadota; Gammaproteobacteria; Oceanospirillales; Halomonadaceae.